Molecule: ribosomal RNA, 265 nt
Filed under: uncultured prokaryote
Description: partial 16S ribosomal RNA
Rfam family: Bacterial small subunit ribosomal RNA
Source: RNAcentral
UACGUAGGGUGCGAGCGUUGUCCGGAAUUAUUGGGCGUAAAGAGCUUGUAGGCGGUUUGUCGCGUCUGCUGUGAAAAUCCGGGGCUCAACCCCGGACUUGCAGUGGGUACGGGCAGACUAGAGUGUGGUAGGGGAGACUGGAAUUCCUGGUGUAGCGGUGAAAUGCGCAGAUAUCAGGAGGAACACCGAUGGCGAAGGCAGGUCUCUGGGCCACUACUGACGCUGAGGUGCGAAAGCGUGGGUAGCAAACAGGAUUAGAUACCCU